Molecule: ribosomal RNA, 1027 nt
Filed under: Micromonospora sp.
Lineage: Bacteria; Bacillati; Actinomycetota; Actinomycetes; Micromonosporales; Micromonosporaceae
Description: bacterial SSU rRNA
Rfam family: Bacterial small subunit ribosomal RNA
Source: RNAcentral
CAGCAGGGACGAAGCGAGAGUGACGGUACUUGCAGAAGGAGCACCCGCCCAACUACGUGCCAGCAGCCGCGGUAAGACGUAGGGUGCGAGCGUUGUCCGGAUUAUUGGGCGUAAAGAGCUCGUAGGCGGCUUGUCGCGUCGACCGUGAAAACUUGGGGCUCAACCCCAAGCCUGCGGUCGAUACGGGCAGGCUAGAGUUCGGUAGGGGAGACUGGAAUUCCUGGUGUAGCGGUGAAAUGCGCAGAUAUCAGGAGGAACACCGGUGGCGAAGGCGGGUCUCUGGGCCGAUACUGACGCUGAGGAGCGAAAGCGUGGGGAGCGAACAGGAUUAGAUACCCUGGUAGUCCACGCUGUAAACGUUGGGCGCUAGGUGUGGGGGGCCUCUCCGGUUCCCUGUGCCGCAGCUAACGCAUUAAGCGCCCCGCCUGGGGAGUACGGCCGCAAGGCUAAAACUCAAAGGAAUUGACGGGGGCCCGCACAAGCGGCGGAGCAUGCGGAUUAAUUCGAUGCAACGCGAAGAACCUUACCUGGGUUUGACAUGGCCGCAAAACCUCCAGAGAUGGGGGGUCCUUCGGGGGCGGUCACAGGUGGUGCAUGGCUGUCGUCAGCUCGUGUCGUGAGAUGUUGGGUUAAGUCCCGCAACGAGCGCAACCCUCGUUCGAUGUUGCCAGCGCGUUAUGGCGGGGACUCAUCGAAGACUGCCGGGGUCAACUCGGAGGAAGGUGGGGAUGACGUCAAGUCAUCAUGCCCCUUAUGUCCAGGGCUUCACGCAUGCUACAAUGGCCGGUACAAUGGGCUGCGAUACCGCGAGGUGGAGCGAAUCCCAAAAAGCCGGUCUCAGUUCGGAUCGGGGUCUGCAACUCGACCCCGUGAAGUCGGAGUCGCUAGUAAUCGCAGAUCAGCAACGCUGCGGUGAAUACGUUCCCGGGCCUUGUACACACCGCCCGUCACGUCACGAAAGUCGGCAACACCCGAAGCCGGUGGCCCAACCCUUGGGAGGGAGCCGUCGAAAGGGGGGGGGUCGGGA